AAAUAUCACCAUGAUUUUAUCACAUAAACUAUCCAUAAAUUGAAAGAAAACUUUCAAAAUGACAAACUGGUUUCAUUACAGAGAACUGAGUUUCGUGAAAUUCUUCUCUUAAACGAAAGGAAGACAUUGUUCUUUUUGUGUUGACAAAAGCCGUAAAUUGUUUGUAAAAUAAAUACUCUUUCUGUGGACAAUCCAUCAAAUUGCAAAAAGAAGUAAAAAAAUUUAUGUAUCGACGGAGGAAAGGGACUUCAAGCAGGAGAUUGAGGAGUUGAAGGCUAAGGUAAAGUUUCUGGAACUUUUUUUUUUCCACUUUUGUCUUCCCUUCAAAUUUGUUCAUUAUUGAGUUUUAUAAAAAUAAUAUUUAACCUUUUGUUGCUAAAUCUGUUUGUUGAGUUUGUUUUUAUUUUUGAAAAUUAGUAUUUACUUCAUACUUCUGUUAACAUUUGAUAAACUGUAAUGGUUAUUCAUAGAUCAGUUAUAUUUGUUUCAUGAUUUUAAAAAGCAGGGAAGUGAUGAAUUUCUGCUAAAUUUGUGAGUGCUGUUUUAUGGAUUGAAGACUUGUUAAAAUUAUUCUUCAAGAUAUAUUAUUUUCUUUUUGUAAUGCAUUAAUAAAUAGUUUUUUGUAAUAAUGAUUUGAUGGAAUUAUAAAAUAGCUUAGAAUGAACAAAAGGAAAAGAAAUAACAUAUAAUGAAGAAUGAUAUGAUUAACUGUUUUUUUAGACAUUUAGAAAUUUACAACGACAGAUUGAAUAACAUUAUUAAAUGUUUUUACUGUAUGGACAUAUUAUCUAUUAUAGAAGUGAAUGGA
This 808-nucleotide long non-coding RNA is filed under the name Olea europaea subsp. europaea. Lineage: Eukaryota; Viridiplantae; Streptophyta; Magnoliopsida; Lamiales; Oleaceae. The record is from RNAcentral.